Molecule: ribosomal RNA, 702 nt
Filed under: uncultured bacterium
Lineage: Bacteria
Description: bacterial SSU rRNA
Rfam family: Bacterial small subunit ribosomal RNA
Source: RNAcentral
GGGAUACCACUUGGAAACAGGUGCUAAUACCGGAUAACAACAAUAGCUGCAUGGCUAUUGCUUAAAAGGCGGCGAAAGCUGUCGCUAAAGGAUGGACCCGCGGUGCAUUAGCUAGUUGGUAAGGUAAUGGCUUACCAAGGCGACGAUGCAUAGCCGAGUUGAGAGACUGAUCGGCCACAUUGGGACUGAGACACGGCCCAAACUCCUACGGGAGGCAGCAGUAGGGAAUCUUCCACAAUGGGCGAAAGCCUGAUGGAGCAACGCCGCGUGAGUGAAGAAGGUUUUCGGAUCGUAAAGCUCUGUUGUUGGUGAAGAAGGAUAGAGGUAGUAACUGGCCCCUAUUUGACGGUAAUCAACCAGAAAGUCACGGCUAACUACGUGCCAGCAGCCGCGGUAAUACGUAGGUGGCAAGCGUUGUCCGGAUUUAUUGGGCGUAAAGCGAGCGCAGGCGGAAAGAUAAGUCUGAUGUGAAAGCCCCCGGCUUAACCGAGGAAUUGCAUCGGAAACUGUGUUUCUUGAGUGCAGAAGAGGAGAGUGGAACUCCAUGUGUAGCGGUGGAAUGCGUAGAUAUAUGGAAGAACACCAGUGGCGAAGGCGGCUCUCUGGUCUGUAACUGACGCUGAGGCUCGAAAGCAUGGGUAGCGAACAGGAUUAGAUACCCUGGUAGUCCAUGCCGUAAACGAUGAGUGAUAGGUGUUGGGA